Mesocricetus auratus (golden hamster) is the source of this 710-nucleotide long non-coding RNA. RefSeq lists it as uncharacterized. The record is from RefSeq and is a predicted model, not a curated record. The transcript has 2 exons. Lineage: Eukaryota; Metazoa; Chordata; Mammalia; Rodentia; Cricetidae.
GGGGCCAGGGAGGCUCCCCCUCUCCCGUCCUGGCUACUGUCCCGCCGCCCAGCAUGCAGCUGGCAAGGCCCGGCCCGUCGGGGACCGCUCCGCCUCCAGCUAGCAGUGAGUUCCCAGCACCUCCAGCCCGCCGGAAAGCACGGGGGAGGGAGCGCCGCCCACGCACAAAAACAGGUGGCCUAGCGGUGGACUCUCAUGGCCCAUACUAUCUUCAAACUCAUUAUGUCGCUGAGGGUAAACUAGGAUUUCUAAUCCUCCUAACCUGGAACUCAAAACAAUCUUCCUGCCUCAGAAUUCUGAUUCCUGAGAUUGCAAGCAAGCAUAUGCCACCAUGCCUUGGUUCCCCAAAUUCUUAUUCUGUUGUGUGUGUGUGUGUGUGUGUGUGUGUGUGUGUACUUGACAUAAGGUAGAGUCAUCAGAGAGGAAGGAGCCUCAGCUGAGGAAAUGCCUCAGUGAGACCCAGCUGGAAGGCAUUUUCUCAAUUAGAGACCAAUGGGGGAGGCCCAUGGUGGGUAGUGCCAACCCUGGGCUGCUGGUCCUGGGUUCUAGAAGAAAGUAGACUGAGCAAACCAUGGGAAGCGGCAUCCUCCACAGCUUCUACGUCAGCUCCUGGCUCCAGGAUCCUGCCCUAUUUGAGUUCCUGCCCUGACUUGCUUUGGUGAUGAACAGAAAUGUGGAAGUGUAAGCUGAAUAAACCCUUUCCUCCCCGA